Lemur catta (Ring-tailed lemur) is the source of this 101-nucleotide small nucleolar RNA. RefSeq annotates it as small nucleolar RNA U13. NCBI's taxonomy places the organism in Eukaryota, Metazoa, Chordata, Mammalia, Primates, Lemuridae. The transcript has a single exon. The record is from RefSeq and is a predicted model, not a curated record.
GUCCUUUUGCAGUUCACAGGCAUGAUGCCUGGGUUUGCACGCUCGUGUGAGACGUGCCUCCCUGAACCUUGUUAUGACAUUGGCACAGUACCAGUCUGACA